Oreochromis niloticus (Nile tilapia) is the source of this 1014-nucleotide long non-coding RNA. RefSeq lists it as uncharacterized. The record is from RefSeq and is a predicted model, not a curated record. NCBI's taxonomy places the organism in Eukaryota, Metazoa, Chordata, Actinopteri, Cichliformes, Cichlidae. The transcript has 4 exons.
CAUGUUGAAAGAUGCAAUGGCAACAAUGUGGAUUGUCAACACUAAAAACAAUCAGUAAGCAAAGACAACAGGGAUCACUUUUUUCUGUUUAUUUAGCACCCACAACAUUUGUAGUCGCCUUCUGCACAGGGGAAGUCCACACACACUGUGUGGUACCACUUUCCACAGAAGGUGCAUUCAAUCUGAAAGACUGAAUGAGAUUGUCAGGGUCAUUGUCUGACUGUUUAUUACUAAUCACCUGCUGUACAUUCACAGUAACUGCCAUCUCCUUACAGAUGUUUAUUAGAUUAACCACACUUAUACAGACUGUAUAUAACAACCAACUCUAAAAUGUUUGUUCGCAGAGAAAAGACACAGACAGACUACGCUAACGACAUGUGAUGUUACAACACUAGUGAAAUAUUAGUGUCAUUUCAUUCUUUUCAAAGGUUUAUUUGCAUGACGCACAAACAGACACAAUUGAAAGGUACAAAUGUGUUGUGCAUGAAACGAAUUCAAACGUGCUGCAGAUGUGUGUCACAAGUUGAUCUGGCUGUAGGCUGUGGCACUUGGCCAGAGGUGGCGCUGGUUGACUCGACUCCAUGUUAGUGCACAAAGUAAACUGCUCGCUUUAGUUGUGAAGCAAAAACGCUGAAUUCGGAGAAAUAAACCGUGCGAGGGGAACGAUAACGACGACAAGAGUCUCCCGAUCGUUUACUCUUGGUGUCCUGUGAACAACAUCGGCGUGGUGUUAAUUGUUUGCUGUUUUCGCGAUCGCGUCGCGCGUGAGGAUAUCACCAGCUGCAGAAAACGGUUCACUGUCAGCCGGCGGUGUUUGUCACCUCCCUGGCUGCUGUGGAGAGACUCAACCAAGAAAACCCCAAAGCCAUUGAGAUGUGUGUCGCUGCUGCAGGUUUCAGUGUCGGAGAAUUUGCUGCUCUUGUCUUUUCUGGGGCGAUGAACUUUGCAGAAGGAGUAAAUGCAGCUCAACUCCCAGUCCUACUGCCAGUUUCUGGAAGACACCUUCUUCAAGCA